CAGUCGCCGCGGGAAUACGAAGGGGGCUAGCGUUGCUCGGAAUGACUGGGCGUAAAGGGCGCGUAGGCGGUUUUGACAGUCAGAUGUGAAAUUCCUGGGCUUAACCUGGGGGCUGCAUUUGAGACGUCAAGACUAGAGUGUGAGAGAGGGUUGUGGAAUUCCCAGUGUAGAGGUGAAAUUCGUAGAUAUUGGGAAGAACACCGGUGGCGAAGGCGGCAACCUGGCUCAUUACUGACGCUGAGGCGCGAAAGCGUGGGGAGCAAACAGGAUUAGAUACCCCCGUAGUCCCUGUCUCUUAUAA
Molecule: ribosomal RNA, 301 nt
Filed under: uncultured bacterium
Lineage: Bacteria
Description: partial 16S ribosomal RNA
Rfam family: Bacterial small subunit ribosomal RNA
Source: RNAcentral